UACGGAGGAUCCAAGCGUUAUCCGGAAUCAUUGGGUUUAAAGGGUCCGUAGGCGGUUUAGUAAGUCAGUGGUGAAAGCCCAUCGCUCAACGGUGGAACGGCCAUUGAUACUGCGUUUCUUGAGUAUGGUUGAGGUAGGUGGAAUGUGUUGUGUAGCGGUGAAAUGCAUAGAUAUGACACAGAACGCCGAUUGCGAAGGCAGCUUACUGGGAUACAACUGACGCUGAGGCACGAAAGCGUGGGGAUCAAACAGG
This 253-nucleotide ribosomal RNA is filed under the name uncultured bacterium. RNAcentral describes it as "partial 16S ribosomal RNA". It matches the Rfam family "Bacterial small subunit ribosomal RNA", at positions 524 to 776 of the family's 1533-position model. The record is from RNAcentral.